Molecule: signal recognition particle RNA, 97 nt
Filed under: Verrucomicrobiota bacterium
Lineage: Bacteria; Pseudomonadati; Verrucomicrobiota
Description: Verrucomicrobia bacterium (mine drainage metagenome) signal recognition particle sRNA small type
Rfam family: Bacterial small signal recognition particle RNA
About the family: The signal recognition particle (SRP) is a universally conserved ribonucleoprotein involved in the co-translational targeting of proteins to membranes.
Source: RNAcentral
CGCCAGGGCCCACGGAAUGUGGACUUACGAACCCCGCCAGGGCAGGAAUGCAGCAACGGUAGUUUGCUCUGCAUCAGCCGUGGUCACCCUGGCCUUU